RNAcentral lists this ribosomal RNA (465 nucleotides) under uncultured bacterium. RNAcentral's name for it is "partial 16S ribosomal RNA". It matches the Rfam family "Bacterial small subunit ribosomal RNA", at positions 338 to 795 of the family's 1533-position model. The record is from RNAcentral.
CCUACGGGGGGCAGCAGUAGGGAAUCUUCCACAAUGGGCGAAAGCCUGAUGGAGCAACGCCGCGUGGGUGAAGAAGGUCUUCGGAUCGUAAAACUCUGUUGUUAGAGAAGAAAGUGCGUGAGAGUAACUGUUCACGUUUCGACGGUAUCUAACCAGAACGCCACGGCUAACUACGUGCCAGCAGCCGCGGCAAUACGUAGGUGGCAAGCGUUAUCCGGAUUUAUUGGGCGUAAAGGGAACGCAGGCGGUCUUUUAAGUCUGAUGUGAAAGCCUUCGGCUUAACCGGGGUAGUGCAUUGGAGACUGGGAGACUUGAGUGCAGAAGAGGAGAGUGGAACUCCAUGUGUAGCGGUGAAAUGCGUAGAUAUAUGGAAGAACACCAGUGGCGAAAGCGGCUCUCUGGUCUGUAACUGACGCUGAGGUUCGAAAGCGUGGGUAGCAAACAGGAUUAGAUACCCCUGUAGUC